This 1009-nucleotide long non-coding RNA is filed under the name Capsella rubella. Its description in RNAcentral is "long non-coding RNA (CRUB_LNC001752)". The record is from RNAcentral. Lineage: Eukaryota; Viridiplantae; Streptophyta; Magnoliopsida; Brassicales; Brassicaceae.
UCAUAUGCUGUCCAGGCUCAGCUAGACAUAGAUUUCAGCAGAUCAUUGCACACCCAAUAUAUCAUUUAGACAAGCCUCCUUAACAAUCUGUUUCUCCUCCAAUCAAUAUGCAGAUCAUUGAGCAUUAGCAUUUUAUCUUUCAGCAGAAAACUGAAUCUUUUUCCCCUCCUCCAUCCCAUGCAGAACAUUGAAUAUUAUUACAUUAUGCUGUCCCAGCUCAGCUACAUAUAGAGUUUCAUUGAAUUUUGCCAAUCUCUGUAACACCAUCAUUAGACAAAGGCCUCCUUAACAAUCCGUUUCUCCUCUAGUCAAUAUGCAGAUCAUUGAACAUUAGCAUUUUAUCUUUCAGCAGAUAAUUGAAUUUUUUUCCCUCCUCCAUCCCAUGCAGAACAUUGAAUAUUAUUACAUCAUGCUGUCCCAGCUCAGCUACAUAUAGAGUUUAAGUUCUUAUACUUAGGCAGAAAAUUAGAUUUUGCCAAUCUCUGUAACACCAUCAUUAGACAACUCUCCUUAAAAAGACAUUUCUCCUCCAAUCAAUCAAUAAGCAGAUUAUAUCUUAUGCUGUCCCAGCUCAGCUUUUAGCAGAUCAUUGAACAUUGAAAUAUAUUUCUCUUCUAAUCAAUAUGCAGAUCAUUGAACAUUAUCAUUCUUAUCUUUAAGCAGAUUAUUGAAUCCAUUUCUCCAUUCAUUAGACAAAGCCUUAAUAAAGGACUAUUCAUUUUUUUCCUCCAACAAAAUAUGCAGAACAUUGAAUACCAUAUGCUGUCCCAGCUCAGCUAGAUAUAGAAUUCUCAGCAGACAACUUGAAUUACCUUAAACACAAGUCUUAGAGGCAUAUGUAUGCAAGAUAUAUAAUGAAGUUUUAUCUGAACAUGCUUACCAAGUUUGAUCCAAGAUAUUGAAUUCAUAAUCUUGGAUACAUAUUUGACAAGUCUUACUUGAUUUAGACACCACUUCAAGAUAUAUCUUUGUCUGCUUGUGUUAGGCAACAUUGUAAACGAUACGGGAC